RNAcentral lists this ribosomal RNA (467 nucleotides) under uncultured bacterium. RNAcentral describes it as "partial 16S ribosomal RNA". It matches the Rfam family "Bacterial small subunit ribosomal RNA", at positions 28 to 507 of the family's 1533-position model. The record is from RNAcentral.
GAUGAACGCUGGCGGCGCGCUUAACACAUGCAAGUCGAACGAUUAAAGCACCUUCGGGGGUGAAUAAAGUGGCGAACGGCUGAGUAACACGUGGGCAACCUGCCCUGCUCAUUGGGAUAGCCCCGGGAAACCGUGGAUAAUACCGAAUACUUCCGGACUUCCGCAUGGAAGAUUGGAGAAAGUUUCGGUGGAGAGGGAUGGGCCCGCGGCCUGUUAGCUUGUUGGGGGGGUAAUGUCCUACAAAGGCAACGCUGGGCAGCUGGGUUGAGGGGUAGACCAGCCCAUUUGGGACUGGAAAAGGGCCCAACUCCCUCGGGAAGCAAGCAGUGGGAAAUUUUCACAAAUGGGCGAAGGCCUAAUGCGCCGCGGCCGCGUGCGGAAUGAAGGCUUUCGGUUUGUAACCCGUUUUCCGCAGGAACGAGGCGUAUGUGACGGUACCUGCAGAAGAAGCACCGGCUAACUACGUG